This 465-nucleotide ribosomal RNA is filed under the name uncultured bacterium. RNAcentral describes it as "partial 16S ribosomal RNA". It matches the Rfam family "Bacterial small subunit ribosomal RNA", at positions 339 to 795 of the family's 1533-position model. The record is from RNAcentral.
CUACGGGGUGCAGCAGUGGGGAAUAUUGGACAAUGGGGGAAACCCUGAUCCGGCAAUGCCGCGUGUGUGAAGAAGGCCUGCGGGUUGUAAAGCACUUUCGGUUGGGAGGACUGCUUCUAGCACUAAUAUUGUUGGAAGUUGACGUUACCUUCAGAAGAAGCACCGGCUAACUCCGUGCCAGCAGCCGCGGUAAUACGGAGAGUGCAAGCGUUAAUCGGAAUUACUGGGCGUAAAGCGCGCGUAGGCGGCUAGAUCAGUCGGGUGUGAAAGCCCCGGGCUUAACCUGGGAACUGCAUCCGAUACUGUCUAGCUGGAGUACAGGAGAGGAGAGUGGAAUUCCACAUGUAGCGGUGAAAUGCGUAGAUAUGUGGAGGAACACCAAUGGCGAAGGCAGCUCUCUGGCCUGAUACUGACGCUGAGGUGCGAAAGCGUGGGGAGCAAACAGGAUUAGAUACCCUAGUAGUC